RNAcentral lists this unclassified non-coding RNA (229 nucleotides) under plant metagenome. Its description in RNAcentral is "partial contains small subunit ribosomal RNA, internal transcribed spacer 1, and 5.8S ribosomal RNA". The record is from RNAcentral.
UCUCCGUAGGUGAACCUGCGGAGGGAUCAUUACAGAGUUCAUGCCCUACCGGGUAGAUCUCCCACCCUAUGUUAUUAUUACUUUGUUGCUUUGGCGGGCCGUUAGGCUACGGCCCGACUACCGGCCCCGGCUGGUAAGCGCCCGCCAGAGGACCCAAAACCCUGAAUAUUAGUGUCGUCUGAGUACUAUAUAAUAGUUAAAACUUUCAACAACGGAUCUCUUGGUUCUG